RNAcentral lists this ribosomal RNA (492 nucleotides) under uncultured bacterium. Its description in RNAcentral is "partial 16S ribosomal RNA". It matches the Rfam family "Bacterial small subunit ribosomal RNA", at positions 29 to 507 of the family's 1533-position model. The record is from RNAcentral.
AGUGAACGCUGGCGGUAGGCCUAACACAUGCAAGUCGAACGGCAGCACAGUAAGAGCUUGCUCUUACGGGUGGCGAGUGGCGGACGGGUGAGGAAUACAUCGGAAUCUACUUUUUCGUGGGGGAUAACGUAGGGAAACUUACGCUAAUACCGCAUACGACCUACGGGUGAAAGCAGGGGAUCUUCGGACCUUUCGCGAUUGAAUGAGCCGAUGUCGGAGUAGCUAGUUGGCGGGGUAAAGGCCCACCAAGGCGACGAUCCGUAGCUGGUCUGAGAGGAUGAUCAGCCACACUGGAACUGAGACACGGUCCAGACUCCUACGGGAGGCAGCAGUGGGGAAUAUUGGACAAUGGGCGCAAGACUGAUCCAGCCAUACCGCGUGGGUGAAGAAGGACUUCGGGUUGUAAAGCCCUUUUGUUGGGAAAGAAAAGAAGCAGGUUAAUACCCCGCUGUUCUGACGGUACCCAAAGAAUAAGCACCGGCUAACUUCGUG